UCUUUGUGAAUCCAAAACAAGAUAUUGUGUCUCUUCAAGCCUUUCGGCUGAUUGUGCUCGCUGGGAUGAUUAUGAAAAUGAAAUUAGGCAAGAACUGAGGUGGCUUAAAGCAAAAUAUCAGAUGCAGUUAAGAGAGCUUAGAGGCCAACAGUUGAGUGUGGAUAAAAAAAAAGAUAGCGGAGUGCCUUUGCCUUCAAUUUUGCCUAAAGUAAAGACACAGAAAUAUAAACCCU
RNAcentral lists this unclassified non-coding RNA (233 nucleotides) under Hevea brasiliensis (rubber tree). The record is from RNAcentral. Lineage: Eukaryota; Viridiplantae; Streptophyta; Magnoliopsida; Malpighiales; Euphorbiaceae.